AUCAGAGUAGCGUAAUGGUUUGAGUGUUGGACUGUUACUCUAGAGAUCAGGGUUCGAUUCCCCACUUGGCCA
Phrynosoma platyrhinos (Desert horned lizard) is the source of this 72-nucleotide non-coding RNA. Lineage: Eukaryota; Metazoa; Chordata; Lepidosauria; Squamata; Phrynosomatidae. The record is from the annotation of a GenBank genome assembly.